RNAcentral lists this ribosomal RNA (507 nucleotides) under uncultured Glomeromycotina. Its description in RNAcentral is "partial small subunit ribosomal RNA". It matches the Rfam family "Eukaryotic small subunit ribosomal RNA", at positions 591 to 1092 of the family's 1831-position model. The record is from RNAcentral. Lineage: Eukaryota; Fungi; Glomeromycota.
CCAAUAGCGUAUAUUAAAGUUGUUGCAGUUAAAAAGCUCGUAGUUGAAUUUCGGGAUUGACGUGAUGGUCAUGCCUUAAGGGGUAUGAACUGUCACUGUUGAUUUCUCACCUUCUGGAGAAACUUGAUGUCCUUUAUUGGGUGUCUUGCGGAUCCAGGACCUUUACCUUGAAAAAAUUAGAGUGUUUAAAGCAGGCAUUUUUGCUCGAAUACAUUAGCAUGGAAUAAUAGAAUAGGACGGCAUGGUUCUAUUUUGUUGGUUUCUAGGAUCACCGUAAUGAUUAAUAGGGAUAGUUGGGGGCAUUAGUAUUCAAUUGUCAGAGGUGAAAUUCUCGGAUUUAUUGAAGACUAACUACUGCGAAAGCAUUUGCCAAGGAUGUUUUCAUUAAUCAAGAACGAAAGUUAGGGGAUCGAAGACGAUCAGAUACCGUUGUAGUCUUAACCAUAAACUAUGCCGACUAGGAAUCAGACGAUGUUAAUUUUUUAAUGACUCGUUUGGCACCUUACG